This 273-nucleotide unclassified non-coding RNA is filed under the name Hevea brasiliensis (rubber tree). Lineage: Eukaryota; Viridiplantae; Streptophyta; Magnoliopsida; Malpighiales; Euphorbiaceae. The record is from RNAcentral.
GUGGAAAUGUGAAGAUCGCUGUGAAAACUGGAAAGAAGCCCCAGAAGACAGCAAUGAAGAACAACAAUCCUGCCUGAUCUUGCAGACCUUUUGGAGUAGUACUGUCUGAGCGCCACCAGAGUAGACCAAGAAUAACAGCAGUUGCAAUGACUUGGGUGAUUCUCAUCCAACUCAAAUAAUCGUGUCGCCGUUCUUUCAGACCUCUCCAAAACAGGAUGUUAUAUUGUUGGCACCAGCUCGCUCCCCAUUCCCUUUUUUGCUUUGAUAUUUUUG